This 23-nucleotide non-coding RNA is filed under the name Cricetulus griseus (Chinese hamster). Lineage: Eukaryota; Metazoa; Chordata; Mammalia; Rodentia; Cricetidae. RNAcentral also lists the same sequence under 1 other name. The record is from RNAcentral.
CGGAAGUGGGAGUAAUGAAGAGG